Molecule: unclassified non-coding RNA, 117 nt
Organism: Macaca fascicularis (crab-eating macaque)
Lineage: Eukaryota; Metazoa; Chordata; Mammalia; Primates; Cercopithecidae
Rfam family: Metazoan signal recognition particle RNA
About the family: The signal recognition particle (SRP) is a universally conserved ribonucleoprotein. It is involved in the co-translational targeting of proteins to membranes. The eukaryotic SRP consists of a 300-nucleotide 7S RNA and six proteins: SRPs 72, 68, 54, 19, 14, and 9.
Source: Ensembl
GCCGGGCGUGGUGGCUCAUGCCUGUAAUCCCACCACUUUGGGAGGCCGAGAUGGGUGGAUCACCUGAGGUCAGGAGUUCGAGACCAGCCUGACCAACAUGGUGAAACCCCGUCUCUA